This 452-nucleotide ribosomal RNA is filed under the name uncultured cyanobacterium. Its description in RNAcentral is "bacterial SSU rRNA". It matches the Rfam family "Bacterial small subunit ribosomal RNA", at positions 8 to 502 of the family's 1533-position model. Lineage: Bacteria; Bacillati; Cyanobacteriota. The record is from RNAcentral.
AGAGUUUGAUCAUGGCUCAGGAUGAACGCUGGCGGUCUGCUUAACACAUGCAAGUCGAACGGAAUCUUUCGGGAUUUAGUGGCGGACGGGUGAGUAACGCGUGAGAAUCUGCCUUCAGGUUCGGGACAACAGUUGGAAACGGCUGCUAAUACCGGAUGUGCCGAGAGGUGAAAGCUUAAGUGCCUGGAGAUGAGCUCGCGUCUGAUUAGCUAGUAGGAGUGGUAACGGCACCCCUAGGCGACGAUCAGUAGCUGGUCUGAGAGGAUGAUCAGCCGCACUGGGACUGAGACACGGCCCAGACUCCUACGGGAGGCAGCAGUGGGGAAUUUUCCGCAAUGGGCGCAAGCCUGACGGAGCAAGACCGCGUGAGGGAAGAAGGUCUGUGGAUUGUAAACCUCUUUUGAUCGGGAAGAAGACAGUGACGGUACCGAUCGAAUCAGCUCGAUCCCCAC